GACUUUGAUAAACAAAUAUUAAACAGUAUUGAAAGAGAUGUUAUAGAAAAUUAUUUUCUGGUUAUAUUCCUUUAAGUCCUUCUUGCACUUUUUUUUUUAGUAUAAAGGAGCAUUGGGUUAUUCAACUUUUUACGUGUUUAUAUGGACUUGGAAAGAUAGUAUAUCUAUAUGGGCAUAAGAAGAGCAAGGUUGUCAUUUUUUUAUUAUGAUACAAAAAUGACCAGGAAAAUGCCGUUCUGACUAUAGAUAGGCAGGAGGAACAAGCAACAAGCCUGAGGCCACCAUUUCUAGAGGCAUCAUGAUGAGGAAUAGCAUUGGCUGAGGGUGGGGAGCAGGCAGCUCAGCGUAGGCCAGGGUGAGUGGGCACCAGGAGCAAAAUGCAGAUGAGGUGAGUUGCCCCUCAGACAGUGCCAGUGGGGCCUGACGACAACUGCAGGCAGCCCUCCCCAACCUCUCUGCAUAGACGCAGCACCAGGAAGCAGUCUUUUCCUGACUGGGGAAGGAGAGAGAGUCCUGAACUGAUUGAGAUAACCUGGAAUCAAUUAAAUAGCUUCUUCUGUCCUCAGGUGGAAUGAGGAAUUGAAAUGCAGAUGAAGUUGAGUUCAAGAAAAAUCACGUUUCUUAUGCAGCUGAUGGAAAGAUUCAUACAUUCUUGUGAUGCUGGUCAGUGGGGAGGUAGGCGUUGCGGGAGGCUGUGUGGUUCUGCAGUACUGCUCCUAAGCAAACUCCACGUUGCUGCCCUGGGGAGGACAAAAGGCUGAUUCGCUGAAAGAAUCAUUAACAGAGAUGGCGGAAGGAGGUUACAUGUUAUUCAAGAUGGGAUUGUGAAGUGAAGGAGGAAAAAACAUACCCCAGAGAUCCUGGACUGAGAGCUGGAUACAGAUUGCGACAUAACUUUGAAGUCGAACACAUUUGGGAGCACAUCUGCGUUUGUACAGCAAGAGGCAAUAGGGAAGUGUUAAAACCAAGAUAAAAUAGAAUGAAAAAAUAAGCCCACAAAUAUGUGCAUACUAAAUAAGAAGCUGGUAACUUCAUUCACAGUCAGUUGGUUAGGACAUAGACAUGUUUUCAAAAUUUAACAUUCUAUUUUGUGGUUUCAAUAGUGAUGGUUGUCAUUUAAAUAGGCAUAAUGAUGGCAAUGAAGAUAUCCUUGGAAGGGAAGAUAACUUUUAAUCAAUAAAAUUGUUUCUGUGUUACUUCGUUAAUAUUUAUAUUUACAUACUCCACAUCGUGAUGGAUAUUUCACAUGCAUAAAUACGAUUUGACAUAUUGUACAUAAAGAUGAAAGUUUAGGGAAUUAGAAUUUUCUUUAAAAAGCCCAAUAUAACAGAACUAUUAUUAUUCACUUUAACAACCUUUCUUAUGAUCAUGUCAAGCUAUCAAAUAUUCAAGUGGUAAGGAUAAAAGACCAUAUUUGGUAUAAAAGACCUCUUUCUAACAUUCUAUUACUGCUGUUUGCCUUGCUGAGGUUCAAAUUGUGUUUGAGAAUAAAACUAUGAAGAUAACUUAAAUCACUAUCUUAUUUACUGUUCAAAGACACUUUUAAAAAUCAUUAGAGGACUGCAAAGACCAGAAAUGCUUUAGACUCGUCAUCAUUUAGCACACAUUCAGUGUACACAAGGCACUAUCUACUGAGUUAACCAUCUACUGAGUAAGUCAGGCAGGAUGAAAAUGACUCACUGCAACACUGUUAGGAUAAAUCUGGACCCCAUGUUAGUGUAAGCAUGAGCCAGGCUAACAACUUUCUCUACAUCCACCCAACAAACUAAAAGAAACCAGACAUCAAGGAAGUGCCCCCUCUCAGCCAAAAGUCUGUGAAACAUUCACUCAGAUUUAGCUUUAAUUCCUGACGUAUAUCUGGUUGAAGAAAUUUAGCAAUGUGUAUGAUCCUUUCUAAGGCAGGCACUUGUCAUAUGUAUUUUUAUUUUCUUUGAUAGGAUCUGCACUGACUUGAACUGAGAACUACCAACUGGUGUAUUCUUCAGCCCCAUGAACCAAGACAGCCCUUGAUAUUUAUUAAUCUUUUACUGAUGCAUGAUUAAAGGAAUGCUUUUCUCCUCUCCAAGUUUCAGCGAUCGUCUCCAGGUAGAUGACUCCUAGGUUUAUAUUUUUAUCUGUGGUCUCUCUCUUGAGUGUCUUACCCACACUUCCAACAAAUACAGGAGAGAUCUUCUUGUUCAGAUGUAUCUUAGCUUCUUCAGGAAGCAUAAUACUAUCUGGAGGGAGUGUAGGUUCAAUGUCUGGUGAGAGAGGUAGGUGGAAACAGGGAAAGAUUUAGCCCUUUACCUUUCAAAACCAUUAACCUCAUGUCUUCUUUAACCCUAAUCAGAUGUUCAAUGAAUAGCUACACAUUAGAAGAGGAUAAAAUGUUUUGACAAAUAGGGAACCAAGGCAUUCCUUUCUUAAGAACAAACGUAUAUUAGAGAGGUCACCUGUGUGGCUGUGGUUUGAAGGUCCUCCAUUGUGCUGAGGGAUUUCGUAGAGGAUGGAAGUUUCAAAACGCUUUGAGGAGUUAGAGUGUUGUUGUACAAGCUACAAUAUCCAGGAGGGCAGGCGUGGAAGUGGAGUUGAGUUGAAUUAGAGGGGGCUGCUGAAAAGAAAGAGGGCAUCCAAAGAAUAUAUUGAUCACCUCAUAACUUGAGCUAAAUCAAUACCUGCCAUUGUCAUAGCCCAGGGUGUAAGGGACUUCUGUGUGAUGAAGUUGGCUUUAAUUUGGUUGAUUGUAAAAGGUUGGUCAUGUGCCCCUCUAUAAUCUACGACUGCCUUGUCCUGUGUCUUCUGCUUCCAUUAUUUCUGCCACUACCAUCACAUUUCUUUUUCUAUUCUUCUUCCCUUCACGAUCUUUGUCCUUUUAUCUGACAAAUAUUUGUGAAGAUAGGCAUUGUGAUAGGGACCGUGGGGGAAGGAGCCAUAAAAAAAGGUAUAAGGUGUGUACUUCUCCUGUAAUUAUAUAAUGUAAAUAUUAGGGGCCCAUUCAUCUAUUCAUUCUCCUGUUUGAGCACCAUCCUCCCCAUGCUCCCCCAAGUAGCCUCUUGUAUAAAGUGUAGGAGACCAGCAUAGAAUUUUCCAAGGACAAAGAGACAGUUUAAUCUUUGUUGCAUACCAUGGGUUAUUUCUGUGCCAUCCAACCUAACAAGAAAGACUAAAUUGUGGGAAUAUACUUUCUAUGUGGAUAAACUUCAAGUUAUGUAUUUUAAUGGAUCAUGCAUUAAUGAAUCUUGAUAUUUCAAGUUGAUUUAUUUCGAUUAUGAAUAACCUCCUAUACCACUUAAAAAAAUAAACUGGUAGCUAUUAAAGCUCUUGAUGGUUUAAAAAAGAGAGAGACUUGAGUCAUAAAAGGACAAAUACUGUAUGAUUCCUUGAUUCCAAUCAUAUGAGGUAUCUAAAGUCGUUAAAUUAAUAGAAAUAAAAAACAGAAUGCUGGUUACCAAGGGCUCAGGGAAAGGGGAAUAGGGGAGCUGUUGUUUAAUGGGUGUAGAGUUUCAGUUCUGCAAGAUGAAAAAGUUCUGGAGAUCUGCUUCACAAUGAUGUAAAUAUACUUAACACUACUGAACCCUAUACUUAAAAAUGGCUAAGAUGGUAAACUUUAUGAUAUGUGGGUUUUUUUUUUUACCACAAUUUAAAAGAUUAACUAAUAAAAAAAAGAAUUUGCUGGGAUUCUACAGAGGAAACAAAGCAAAGCAUUGAGAGAAAAACUUAAAUUCAACUCGGGCAUCUCUCUUCCAUAAAACUCUCUCUUCGGCUGUGCUACCAAUCAUAGCAGAGUGGUGGUGGUGGUGGAAAGCUUUUCCUCUGAUCAUUCCCAAACAAGAGGUAUGAGCAGUUAGGCCUGGGAAGGAGUCAGAAUCUUGGAGAGGAGGUAGAGGUUAUCUAUGGGAUACCAAUGGAAAUAAUAGGUAUGGUCAAUUUGAGAGUGUAAUUAUAGAAAUGAAGUGAAUAGAUAUGAACGUUUUUAAGAUGUAUCAUCAACUGUAGAAACAAAUGAUAAUAGCAAUUAUGCAGUAAGAACUUAGGGUUGAGGAACUGUUGAGGAAACUGAGGCUAAAAGAGGUUAGGUAAGUUAUCCAAGAUCAACCCCUAGAAAGUAGUGAAGGUAGGAAUUAAUCCCAAGAGCCAAAUGUACAACCCAUGCUUUUAACUACUGUACUAUGACUGCUUUCCUUUGAAUGUAUGCACCGUUGGGAAGACAAUUAUAAAUGACUGCAAUUGGAGGAAGUUGGGCAUGUCAGCUGUUCACUCUUUGUUCCCCUCACAUUCUUAUCAGGGGCUAUAUGAUGCUGUGUAUUUUGCAUUGCCCACUGAGAAAAUGUUUAAUGGAAUAGAAUGAUACUGCUGAGAAGAGGAGAGCUCAGUGGUCCUCACCACAGGAUGUUCCUCUGCAAAGCAGAAUAGCAAGUUGAGCAUCAUGGAUAAGAUUUUCUUUCAGAGCAGAAGGGACUUAAACUCUUAAACUCACAGGGAGAGCGCCACUCGUCAAAUACUCUCAAGAUUUUCAGCCACUGUGCCAAAAGGACCAUAAAUUAUGCCCUCAUUGAAUAAUGUUUUAAGUGUGGUACUUCUUAAAGAACAUAUUUAUUAACCAGGCAAAAAUUUUAUUACAUGGCCACAACAUGCUAUGCUGUUUUCAUCAAGUGCCUAUGUAAGGGUAUUUGUAGAAGGUUGUCUCCAGGAAACCACUAACAGUUAUUUCCAAAGAACUCAGUCUCCUUGGCUUCAUAGACUAAUUUUCAGGAACUUUGGAGCAUAAAACACAUUUUGGAACUAGAGUUCUACAUGUCAGAAGGUCUGAAAAGCCAAGAGAUUAGUAUAAAUAGCUUUGUUAUUCACACACUGAAUAUAACAUUUAGAUAUAAUAUAUUCUGUAGCCAAAGUACUCUAGUUUCUCCCAAUAAUUUGAAACAAGAAGUUAAGAACACAAAAUGCACCUAGAGGGAAAGAAGAAUGAUACUUUAUUGCUGCUGAAUUCAUGAAUCUAUUAGGGAAACUCAUUUUAAUCUUUAGGUUUAAUAUGUCCCUUUUAUCAAGACUGAGACUUUUCUUUGUGUCUACAGUAGAAAAAUGACGCCAAUUUAGUCCUGUACUUUGCCAACCCCUGAUUGUCACAUUUUUCGAAUUAUCACAGUUGUCCAUCAAUUGUGUCAAGACAGAAUAGAAAAUUGGGUUGUGGGUUGGAUCCUGUUAAGGAUAUAUACAGAUUUCUAUAAAACAUUCAUAAGGAUAUUGCUCUCGUUUUUCUUUCUGUAGGAUGAUGAACAUUUUUUUGUUUUGUUUUAUUUUCUGGAUGUUUAACUUUUAGUUAGAAUAAUAUAAACAAUUUUCUAGUCACAAAGACCUUUUAGAACAGCCUUACUUUCAGAGCUUUCAUAAUUCUGGAAUGAGGCGCUAUUCCACCCACAGUUUAGUUUGUAUUCCUUGAGCUGAGUUAAUUAUCUGAGGUCACAGGAUGCUAUUGGUGGUUUUGCAUGUACAAAUGGAUAUUCUCAAUUCUGCCCAGAGUAAUGGAUCAAAAUAGGCAGUUAAUUCAAGGUUUUAAAAAUUAAUAUAAUCUGCAAUUUUAAUGGUGCAAGGAAAAUUAAAGGUCUCUUAGUUCAACACAUUUAUCUUGUAGAUGAGCCAGCAAAGGCCCAGAGAGCCUUUAGAAUUUGCCAAGGGUCACAUAGCCAGUUAAUGGCAGAGCUGGUAUCAGAAAAAGGUCUUUUAUCUCAUAAUUCAAAGCUCUUUCUUCGAAUUAUGAAAUGUUAAGGCAUAGUGAAAAGUCCAGAAAAUAACAUGACUAACAUUUGUGUAUCUACCACCCAGCUUUAUCAAAUCUUACCAUUUUUUAUGUAUGCUUCUUUAAUUUUUUAAAGAAAUAAAACAGAUUCAAUAAAGCCCCUUGUAUAAUUUUUUACUAAUAAGACGUCUCAUACUGCCUUCCAAAUUUGCCAUUGUUAUGUGAAGAUGCAUAAAUAGUAUCUAUAUGUACAAUAUUUGUUAUCGUUUUAUGUAGUUUAGAACAGUAUAUAAGUAAAAUCGUAUUUUAUGUAUUCUUCUGAAAUUUGCUUUUUAUCGCUCACUAUUGUUUUUGAGAUUUUUUAAUCCUCAAGUACAUAGCUAUGGUUCAUUCAAUUUUACUGUUUUCCAUAUUGUGAACCUAUUACAAUGUAUUUAUCCAUUUUCCUCUUGAUGAAUAUUUAGAUUUUUUUAAAAGUUGCUAUUACAAAUAAUGCUGUAAUAAACAUUCUUGUAUAUGUGUCCUUGUGCACAAGUGCAAGAACUUGUUGGCUACAUGCUUGGAAAUUGUAAUACUUCAAUGGUAUGUAUUAUUGUCAAAUUACUCUCCAAAGUGUGGUACAGCAGUGUUAUAUGAUGCCAAUUUGAUGGAUAGGAAAUGGUUCAUCACUGUGGCUUCAUCUGUAUUUCCCUUAUUAAUAAUAAAAUUGAUUAUCUUUUUGUAUGUUUAUCAGUUAGCCAUUGCUUCAAUAAUAUUGGGUGACCAACCACCACAAAACUUAGAGGCAAUCAUUUAUUUUCAUGGGUCUGCAGGCCAACUGGUGUGGCUCCACUUCAGGAUGCAGGUCUGGGAAUCCACAUCUGUUCCAUGUGUCUCUUAUCCUCCUUGGGCCAGUGGACCAGCUAGUGAUCCUCUUCUUGCAGCAAAAGCAGGAGCACAAGAGUGCAAGCCCCAUUCCUCAAUGACAUUUCAAGUCCUUGCUUGUGACACUUCUGCUCAUGUCCUAUUGACCAAAGGAAGGCAUUUUGCUGAGUCCGACAUCCAUAAAGUGGAGAAAUGCUCCACCCCUGUGAGACCAUGGCAUAGCCAUGAAGGCAUAUAACUACUACAGGGGAGGGAAGAAUUGUCACCAGUAAUUUCAUCUACCACAACACAUUUAUUGGUUAUGAAUUGCUGUGAAUUUCUGGUUCAUAGUCUUUGCUCAUGUUGUCUUGAGUUGCUUGUAUUUUGCUUAUUGUUUUGUAGAUAUUCUUUACAUAAUGUGGAUUCUGAUUUUUAUCUAUUAUAAGAUUAUGAAAAAUCUUAUUUUAGUACAUGGCUUAUCUUUUCACUUUGUUUAUGAUAUUUGUCUUGUAAAGUUUAAAAUUUGACUGCAGUCUAAAUAGUUAUCAGUUUUUUCUUUUACAGUUUGCACUCAUUGUGUUGUUUUAGAAAAUUAUCUGCAUCCUGAGGUCAUUAAUAUACCCUCCAAUGUUAUCUUCUAAGAGUAGUAAAGUUUCAUUUUUCCAUGUAGGUUCAUGAUUUGCUCAGAACUUUUAAGUUUUUUCUAUUUUUUUCUGUAAAUUCUCUUAUAUAUUCUACAUAAAUAAUCAUAUCAUUUAUGAGUAAUAAAAUUUGGUCUUUUUGUUUCCAAUUCUUAAAUCUUUUUUUCUUUUUCUUAUGACACUAAUCCAGAAAAAUGUGGACCAGGAGUUGCACAGCAAGUAUCCCACCCACUCCUUGAUUUUAAUGGAAAUAUUUCCAAUGUUUUACUACUGCAGGAGAUUGAUCACAAAGAAAGUAAUCAGAAAAUAAAUGAUAAGCUAAAAUUCCAUAUACCACUAAAAUAUUAUUAUAGAACAUAGGCAAAAU
Molecule: long non-coding RNA, 7564 nt
Filed under: Equus caballus (horse)
Lineage: Eukaryota; Metazoa; Chordata; Mammalia; Perissodactyla; Equidae
Description: lncRNA (ENSECAG00000050590.1)
Source: RNAcentral